UCUGUCUCUCUCAAAAAUAAACGUUAAAAAUAAAAAUAAAAAAAAAAGUCAGUGUGGCAGUUGUUCAUGACAACAACGUACUCCAAGGACGGUGGUCAGGAGCAGGGGCACCUCAAGUACAGCUCCCACUAGCCUCUAUGUCUGGUCUUAUGCUCACUCUCCUCUACUCACAACCCUCUGCCCUCUCGCAGUGGCCGGCUUCUUUACAUCGAGUCUCUUCUCCUCCCUCCCAUCAUUCUUCUGUACCUGUCUCCAGACUGAACGUGCCCUUCUAGAACUCACGUGUUGAAACCUCACCCCAGUACGAUGAUGGUUGGAGGUGGGGUCUUCCUGGACGUGAUUUAGGUCAGGAGGAUGGAGCCCUCGUGAAAGGGGUUAGGUCCUUGUAAGAGAGACCUCAGAGAGCUCCCUUGUCCCAUCUGCCAUGCGAGGACACAGCAAGAAAACAACCAUCUGUGAAUCAGGAAUUGGGCCUUUACCAGACACCGAAUCUGCCAACACCUUGACCUUGGACUUCCAGCCUCCGGACCUGUGAGACGUAACGGUCUGUUGUUAGAGCCGCCCAGGGCAUGGAGUUUUGUUACGGCAGCCUGAAUGGACUGAGACGUGCUUUUUUCUGUUCUCCCUCUUUUUACCCCCUCACUCAUCCCCUGUGAGCUUUCUCUUCCUCUUCCUCUCAUUUUCGAUUUGCCUCUUCUCCCCUGCCCACCUUCUCCCUUCUUGGCCAAAUCCAUGGAACUAAGCUUUAUUUUAAAGUGGUCUUCUGAUUUAUUAAGUACCGGUCUCUCAGCUCUUAAUUUUUCUCACGGAGCAUUGGAAUCUUACGGGCAUUUGCACCGCAACAAAGGACAGAUUAGUUUUUUUUUAGUUGUGUGUGGCAAAAAAAAAAAAAAAAAAGAAUAAACGUUCUCUGUGAUGACAGGUGGCUCUUGAGAAGGUGAGGAGUGCCUGGCAGACUCCCCCGGACGCCCUGCUGCUUCUGCACGCCGGCAUAGCCUGGCAGUUUCUCUCUCUCACCUGAGCAGUAGCAUCCAGAAAGCUGGCCAGUUCCCAAGCGAUGGAAGCAAGUUACCCUACUGCCCACAGCUCCUACCUGAUGAAGAAAAACAAAGGGUCUGCGGGUGGUGUCUGACUUUAUGUAGGGAAUUAGGUAAGUGCCUUGCGAGGAAUGUAUCCUGUUAUCCACUGCCUGCCUUUCCAAAUCCAGGUUUCUGUCCAGUUAUUGUUGGGGCAACACGCAUUAACUAGAGGGUAUCAGUGUGUUCAGCAGAGUGCGAUUCCUGAAGUACUAGGUGAGGAGAAAUCCCAAAUUUAUUUCUCAAAUCAACAAAAACAAGCGUGAUCUGUAUUUCUGGUGUUUUCGAUGGGACAGUCAAUACGUACCUUUCUCCUUAAUUUGAGUAACUGACAAAAGUUCAUCAACAAUGUCAGCAUGGCUCUGUCAUGACUGUCCUGUGGUGAGUUCAUUGGAAGGAAAAUUGUGUAAUGAUGGAAAAGAACUGGAAAAGAAUAACAGUCCGUCAUUCCUACUUUCGAACCCUCGAGUCUUCAACUUCUCCAGGUAAGUUAAUUGAAGCAGAUUCUUAGACAGAAUAUGAGGAAAAUCAUUUUGUGCUAGCACCAUAGACCUCCGUGCUGUUUCUCUUUAAAAUUUGUAGAAACGGAAGUUGUUAGCUUGUUUUCUUGGUCAACAGAUUAAUCUGCCUCCCCUGUGGGUCUCUGCUGUUUUUCCGUUCACUCAGCUCAUACGUUCCUUGGCACAGUGCUUUCCCCCUUCUGGAUGCUCAAGAAAUAUGAUUUGAUGAUAAGCCUGCCUGUGAUUUCCAGAUGCCUUUGUUUCCCUCCUGUUGAUUCCUCAGUCUUGCCAGGGAAGGGAAAGGCAGGUGGCUCCAACCCAGGACAGUCCCUUUGUCUCCUCUGUAUAAGCCUAUUCAGCCUGGCCGGACCAGCGACUGUGGGGAUUCCUAGAACCAGACGACAACCUGCAGAGGAGAGUGGAAGAGCAGGGAAAGGUCAAGGACGGCAUGAGUGGGGCACCCCGACAGCCAUGGACCCGGCUAAUGGGCCGUCACGUGAGGAAAGCUGGUCAUGGGGCCUCCCAGCUCCAGCCAUGAGAAUCAGGCUGUAGUUUUCAAUUAUAUGGCUCAGGAGUUAGAUGUUUAUCUGCACUGUCGUCUGGGGGGUGCUGUAGCUUGUGACUUAUUAAGGCAACAAAAGGAUUGGCCGAUGAUGACCGAGCCUUUGUAUAGAACGAAAACCACCUACAGCUUACUAAGCGAUCGACCCAAGUCUAACCAUAUUUCCAACAGGCUGAGUAACGUGGAAGGACAGGGUAACCUGAUGGAGGACAUUAAUUCUUCUUCUCCAGUUAUGAGAGGAAAAGAAGCUUAUUUCCUUUUAUCAAAUGGCAAAGGGACUCCUGGAGGGAAAGAGUUGGAUUCGUGCAGAAGAAGAGGGGGGAGCAGCCUAAGGAAGGAGGCGCCGAUGGCAUCCACUUCAGUAGUAGCAUCUGGCUCCUGGGACAAGAGUGUUUGCCUGGCUGGUUCCUGGAACAGAAGUGACGUGGGACCCGGGGCAGCAGCAGGGACGGUUGAGCCUUGUGGCAGUGCAAACUGUAAUGUGCCCGACUCAGUGGCGGCAAAGGUCCUGCUGCAGACCUGUUCCUGUGCGUGGUUUAGGGCACAGACCCUGGAGGCCACGAGCUGAUUUCUGCAGAUGACUCAAGGAUACUGCGUGUUCCUCGGUCUACUCUUUUCUGCUAGAUCCACCGUAAUUAACUACUGUUCCUGGCAACUGUUCCUGGUCUGAUCCUGGCUAACUAUCCUUAUUAAAACAUGUCCCCAGAGUCUAUAUACACACAAGCAAUGAUACAUUUUUCUGUUUAAGAAUGGGACUCUGGUAUAUACACACCGGGUAGCUUAGACCCACUCUUUCCCGUUAACCACUCUGCAAGAGUCCGUGGAAUUGUAUGUUUCACCAUAAUUUGCUAACCAAACCCCCUACUGAUUUACAUUUAAGAGAUUUUCCUCUUUUGAUUCUUGUAUGCAAGGUAGCAGUGAAAACCCUGACACAUUUAUCUUUACCAGUUCAUGCUGUGAUUCUUGUAUAGAUUCCUAGCAAUAAAAUUUCUGGAUUAUCACAUA
Long non-coding RNA from Felis catus (domestic cat), 3143 nucleotides. RefSeq lists it as uncharacterized. The transcript is spliced from 3 exons. The record is from RefSeq and is a predicted model, not a curated record. Lineage: Eukaryota; Metazoa; Chordata; Mammalia; Carnivora; Felidae.